Long non-coding RNA from Rhinopithecus roxellana (golden snub-nosed monkey), 228 nucleotides. RefSeq lists it as uncharacterized. The record is from RefSeq and is a predicted model, not a curated record. The transcript is spliced from 4 exons. NCBI's taxonomy places the organism in Eukaryota, Metazoa, Chordata, Mammalia, Primates, Cercopithecidae.
CGCCUCCCAAGUUCAAGAGAUUCUCCUGCCUCAGCCUCCCGAGUAGCUGGGAUUACAGCUAAUAAUCUGAGAGCAUCAACCAUUCACUACCCAUGCUGGCUGUGGAAAUGUAGCUGCAAAUAUCUAUAUACAUUAAUUUCAAAUGAUGUGACAAUAUUGAAAGAGCCAGAAAACAGGGUCUUACUCUGUCACUCAACCUCCACCGCCUGGGCUGAAGCGAUCCUCCCA